CCUACGGGAGGCAGCAGUGAGGAAUAUUGGUCAAUGGCCGGAAGUCUGAACCAGCCAAGCCGCGUGCAGGACGAAGGUGCCAAGCAUUGUAAACUGCUUUUGUCCAAGGACAAAAUCAGGCUCGAGAACCGGACCGAGGGUACUUGAAGAAAAAGCAUCGGCUAACUCCGUGCCAGCAGCCGCGGUAAUACGGAGGAUUCGAGCGUUAUCCGGAUUUAUUGGGUUUAAAGGGUGCGUAGGCGGACUGUUAAGUCAGCGGUAAAAGCCCGGGGCUCAACCCCGGCGAGCCGUUGAUACUGGCUGUCUAGAGAUGACGAGCGGUAGGCGGAAUGCGCAGUGUAGCGGUGAAAUGCUUAGAGAU
Molecule: ribosomal RNA, 361 nt
Filed under: uncultured bacterium
Lineage: Bacteria
Description: partial 16S ribosomal RNA
Rfam family: Bacterial small subunit ribosomal RNA
Source: RNAcentral